GAUGAACGCUGGCGGCGUGCCUAAUACAUGCAAGUCGAGCGAACAGAUGAGGAGCUUGCUCCUCUGACGUUAGCGGCGGACGGGUGAGUAACACGUGGAUAACCCACCUAUAAGACUGGGAUAACUUCGGGAAACCGGAGCUAAUACCGGAUAAUAUAUUGAACCGCAUGGUUCAAUAGUGAAAGACGGUUUUGCUGUCACUUAUAGAUGGAUCCGCGCCGCAUUAGCUAGUUGGUAAGGUAACGGCUUACCAAGGCAACGAUGCGUAGCCGACCUGAGAGGGUGAUCGGCCACACUGGAACUGAGACACGGUCCAGACUCCUACGGGAGGCAGCAGUAGGGAAUCUUCCGCAAUGGGCGAAAGCCUGACGGAGCAACGCCGCGUGAGUGAUGAAGGUCUUCGGAUCGUAAAACUCUGUUAUUAGGGAUGAACAAAUGUGUAAGUAACUAUGCACGUCUUGACGGUACCUAAUCAGAAAGCCACGGCUAACUACGUG
Molecule: ribosomal RNA, 497 nt
Filed under: uncultured bacterium
Lineage: Bacteria
Description: partial 16S ribosomal RNA
Rfam family: Bacterial small subunit ribosomal RNA
Source: RNAcentral